Long non-coding RNA from Crotalus tigris (Tiger rattlesnake), 1796 nucleotides. RefSeq lists it as uncharacterized. The record is from RefSeq and is a predicted model, not a curated record. The transcript has 4 exons. NCBI's taxonomy places the organism in Eukaryota, Metazoa, Chordata, Lepidosauria, Squamata, Viperidae.
UUUUAGGAUCUGAAGCGGAAAUGUCCUGAGCCAAUAUUAACAAGCAAAAAAGUGAAUAAAGAACAGAAUUCCAAGCUGGGAUUGGGUUUCUAGUGUGCGUUCACCAAACUUUCAAGAUCAGCCAAUAAGGCAUGGGGAAAAGAUUCUUGCGUAUGUUUUCUUUUGGGAAUAGAGGCUGAUACUGCAGCCAAACAAAGUCCCAGGGGUUGGCAAACAAAUCAAUAACUCUGUACACAGUGGCCUUCAUGUCACUGGGUUCACCCCGAAAAAUGUUUUGUUAGUGGUACAUUUGCCUGUGAUUCUGUAAAGAAAAAAAAAACAUGAUUAUUCACCCUUCCAAUUAAAUAACAGGAAAGAAAGUCCUGCCCAGAAGACGAAUCCAAAUGAAAACAUAUCCAAGGUUUGGCUGUCCACCCUCUGCUUGAAGGCAUAAGGAAGGAAGCUCAACCUCAUUCUGCAUCAGCGGGUUUCACUCUCAAAAGAGCUUCUCAGAGAGACUUUCAGAAGUUUGAAGAAUUUGGUUUUUGAUCCCAGGUGAUCCCCACUGUUGUUUGAAACUUCUCAUGAUGCUGCCUAAAAUGUUGUGUGCCUUUCUUACAACCGCCUCACACUGCUGAAUCCUAUUCUGCUCGCAAUUAGUGACUGUUCGAGACAUUUUUACCCAAGUACUGCUACUAAUCCAGGAAAAGGAGAAGAUCUGCUUUGGAAAUUCCCUCACAUUAUAACAGGGGUGGAAAGCUUCCACACUUAAGCUAUUCCACCAUCCCCGCUCUGCUGUCUUACUUUAAACAAAGAGGAUUCCAGAGGCCUUUAUGGAAUGAGAAAGGGAAAAAAAAAAAAAAAACUGGGAACCAGGCCUCUUGUCAGUCAACAGGAGUUGAUUGGAGUUCAUCACCAGCCUAUCAAGUACUUAGAAGCUACACUAAAGCUUGUAUUGAAAAAGAUCCCAUCAUCUCUUCAAGCUAAGUGGUCACCCAGACUUAGGACACAUUUUUCAGCAACUUAGAAGCACCACAUGGACAAAACCUUGCAGGAGAUGAAGAAACUGGAUGAAGGACUUUCUAUGGAGGGAGCAAAAUAAAGGAGAAUGGCUGGAGAAUGCAGGCAUCGAUCCUGCUACCUCUUGCAUGCUAAGCAAGCGCUCUACCAUUUGAGCUAAUUCCCCAGCUGUCUGACAGCAUUCUUGCACAAUUUCCCAAGAAAGAAAGAAACCAAGAUAACAUACAGAAACUAGCAGGGGAAGAUUGGUGUGUCAUACAGAGAGUGCAAUCUAACCUACCUACAUCAAAGGAAACCCCUAAGUCAAUACAUCUAGAUCAUGGGUGUUAAACUCCAUCGUGAUGUAUUGUAACAUAUCAUGCUUUUUGCCUUUGUGGAACCAGGGUGAGCAUGGCCUGUGCAUGACGCAUCCAACCCGCAGGCAGCCAGUUUGACACCCCUGAUUUAGAUCUUUAGAGGGAUGCCUGAAUUAGCACUAAGAGGCAUCCCACCACCUCAGGUGGAUUUGGUUAAGUCAUGAUCCAGUCAGUUGGGGAAAUCAUUAAACCAUAGUCAGCCAAUCAAGGGUUAGCUGACACAUUUUCACCUCCAAAGCAAGAGAGCUUCUCUAGCAACCUAACAAAUAUGGUCAAAAUCCUGCUGCUUCCAGUUAUGAAAAGAAAAUCUCUUGCUCAUAUCCCAAGUGAAACUUCAGGCAGGUCAAACCAACACAGUUCUAGGCUGCAUUUAACAGAGGGAUAGAAUCAAGAUCACGUGAAGUGUUAAUACCACUUUAUAACGCCUUGGUAAGACCACAC